RNAcentral lists this transfer RNA (73 nucleotides) under Camelus bactrianus (Bactrian camel). It matches the Rfam family "tRNA". Rfam says of the family: Transfer RNA (tRNA) molecules are approximately 80 nucleotides in length. Their secondary structure includes four short double-helical elements and three loops (D, anti-codon, and T loops). The record is from Rfam by way of RNAcentral. RNAcentral also lists the same sequence under 2 other names. Lineage: Eukaryota; Metazoa; Chordata; Mammalia; Artiodactyla; Camelidae.
GAGGGUAUAGCUCCAGUGGUAGAGCAUGUGCUUAGCAUACACAAGGUCCUGGGUUCAAUCCCUAGUAUCUCCU